Molecule: long non-coding RNA, 276 nt
Filed under: Linum usitatissimum (flax)
Lineage: Eukaryota; Viridiplantae; Streptophyta; Magnoliopsida; Malpighiales; Linaceae
Description: long non-coding RNA (LUSI_LNC000759)
Source: RNAcentral
CGACAAAGACACCAACGGUGUUGAGAAUGGCGGCGUCCUCGUUUUACAUGGCCCAGCACAAUCACCACGGCAAUCCCAGUCACAGAACUGAAGACUGCCACCUCAUCUACCACGAACCAGACGGCCACGGCGCCACCGCCAUCGGAGUCCUGACGGAGUUGGAGGUUACAGGAGCCGGGGAAUCGACCCAGGCGAAUACUCCGAGGAACUGAUGAUGAACGCCCUCGCCGCACUCUACGUCCACGAUUCCGACGUAGAUCCGUUGAAAAUCCUGAA